UUUCAUAAGGUUCAUGUGAAGAUACUGUGUAAAACUUGGAAGCAUUUUAUGCUUUAUUAGUACUGCCCAUAUUGUCUCACAUAUUCAUGUUGAAAUUUUUGGUCAACAUUUUAAACAAUUCAUUUUGUUAUCUCAAAAAACUUUUAAAACUAUCACAUAUUUCCUCAACUAUUCUAUUGAAGCAGCAUGUUAUAGAGGAAAAUUAAAAUAGGAUACUGGGAUUCCUCUGUAUAUGGACAAGUCACUUAACCUGAGCCUGAAUUUCAUCUAUAAAAUAGGUUUUUCUCAUAAGCUUCAAUUGUCUAUGACUAUAAAACCCUCCAACUACUUAUACCCAAAUGCCCUCAGAUCCAUUAACCAUUGUCAUUCACCCUUUAUAUAAUCUUAUUCUCCUUCCACAAAUUGGCUACCAUUUCUACUCUGCAGUUACUUCCCCCACCCAUCCUUUUAUUAACUAUCACCCUGGACUGAAAAGGAUAUUUAGGAGCUGCUGUUCCAGAUGCCUCCCUACCCCAACCCAUACACACAAAUAAUGCCAUACAAGAAUAUCACAUAAUAAACCUUGUAACCAUUUUCAAGUUCUAAAAUUCAUCAUCUAGGAGCUUUAUCUGAAAUUUGUUAAAGGUUUUCCCCCCUCCUCUGAUUUUUACAAAGUUUUUACAAAGUACAAAGCUCACAUAAUGUUGGAAUCAAGUAAAAUCUUAGAAACCAGAUAGUCUAAAACCCAAGGCACCUUUAACAAGUGGUCAUCAUAUCUCCCCAGGGUCUGAAGCUCACUAUAAAUUAACCCUUUCUAGACCCAUAGUACCAAUAUACAGUAUUCCACUUCUUAUUCCCUCAGAGGCCAACCCAACAAUUUUUCCUUUUGUUAUUAGUCUCAAGAUGUCUUUUAUAAACCAUUCCAUUUUCCUUACCACUCUCAUUUUUCUCAUUGUCCCUAUGUAUAUUAUCUCCAGGGCUUCACUUCUAAUGAUUCUUUCCCUUCAAAGAUAUAGUGCCCAUUACGAAUUUCUUUUCAUUUGCCCACCUCAAACUUCUUAUUUUCAAUUCUCCCCUUCCUCAUUCUGCUCAUAACUUUUCCAAGACAUUCUAUCACCAUCCUCUCAACUAUGAAAUAAGUUAAGCAGAAUGUGGAAUAAAGAGGUCUAUCUCACUUUUCUAACCCAAUCCCAAUCUGAAUUUCUAAGUUCUAAGGUAGGUAGAUCUCAGAAUAUAUACAACUAUAGAAUAGGACACAUCUUGGACAUCUAUUCCAGAAUGACUUUAAGUGAUCUAGCUCAGCCAAAGUCAAUCUUGCAUGAAAAAAGAUUCUAGUACUUCUUCCUGGUAAGAUCCAAAAGAAACUCAGCCUGUUAGGGUUCCUCUGGACAGCCUACAGAAUAACAAAGAGCAGGUCCUGAACACCUUAAACCAUCCAAGACUAGCAGAGACAUCUCUGAAUCAAUCCAAAUCCAGAUGUACACUUGCGCUUGCGCUGAUACAUUUUUCUUCUCAGCAAGUAGAAGAAUGCAGAGGAAAUCUCUGAGAAGUUAAAAAACUACUGACAUCCCUUUAUGUCAGAUACCUUUUCUGAUAUCCUGAUCAUCCCAAUAUGUGAACAUACCUGAAACUUCAGUUUCCUCACUGGCAAAAACAGGAAGGUGGACUAGAUGAUCUCUUAAAAUAGUCUUCCACUUCUAAAAUUUUAUUAAGUAAACCUUUCCCAAUCAACCCAUGUAACUUCAAAACAGAAUCUGGGACUUAAAUGUAUUGCUGUACAAUGUACUGGGCUUUUCCCUUUUGUCCUAAUUCUAGAAUGUCAACAUUCUAGUUAAUAUACCUUCUAGACCAGAUUUGCUGUUACCAGUUCUCUGCAUCAAAUUGGCAAUAUAAUACACAAUUAAGAUUCAAUAAAGUUCUCUAUUCUGGCAUUUUCCAUAAUAAUUUUCAGACUACUGAAAUGUUACUUUAAACUAGCUAAAAUUUCAAAACCAUAGCUUGUUGCCUUUAUUCCAGAACUAUCAUAAAGAUUCAGGUCCUCAGCCCUGAAGUCAGGAGGACCUGAGUUUAAAUCUGACCUUAGGCACAACACUUUCCUAGCUGUGUGACCUUGGGCAAGUCACUUAACCCCAAUUGCCUCAGCAAAAAAAUAAAAAAUAAAAAGAUUCAGGUCCAAUCUAGACCUAUCAAAUUGGCUUGUCAUCUUGGACCAAAUUAAAGCUCCAAGACCCAUUCCCACAGUGAGUCCAAAACACAGGCUAGAUCCAGCUAAUUAUUAGAUGAACAGAAUGACAAAAUAAGUGAGAAGUCUUAUCUGGGCUGAUGAUAAAUCAAGGUUAGAAUAGAAACUGGGUACUCUUCAAUUCUUCACUCUUAUUCAGUUACAUUUUUCUAUCCUACUUCUUUAACUCCAACAUUUAACACCUUCUGGGUCUUGGACAAUUUUUUUUUUUAAUAGACAUUCCUCUUAGCUAUUUCUUUCUCUCCUUUUCUAUAUAUUCUCCACACUGAGUAUCGCCUGAAUCCUAAUGACUCCAAGGAUACCUCUUCAUUCUUCCUUCCAUCAGGCAUUCCUCAAAGCUACUUUAUCUCCUCAAAUAUAACCUCUCCAACUUUGGUCCAUUCACUCAAUCAAUACUAUUUUGUACAUAGUAAGCAUCAGAUUGAUGACAACUAUUAAAAAAAUAAUGCCAAAUACUGUAGGGAUUCAUCCCCUCCCCAUCUAGCUCAUUCAAUCACAGCUUCCAUCCUUACACAUAUACCUUUGACACCCUCUCCCUUCCUGACAUUAUUCACACCUCAACUCCUCUUUCCCCUCUUUUCUAAGAAUUCCUUCAUCCCUCAGGUACCCUCUCCCCUUCACACCUUAAACAGGCCUUUCCCUCUUGAUAUUCCCUUCAUACAUUGGUUAUGUCCUUCCUUCUGGAUGGACAGUCCCAUCAAACCUCCUCUCCUCUCCUCGGAUACUCCCUCUUCACAGCGUAGAUAUUCCCUUCCUUCCCGGCAAUCUCUUCACACAUUGGAUAACACUACCCCUCUCUGGACGUUCCCUUCAUACCUCAAUUCCUUCAACCCCCAUCCCAAUCCUCGGACAUAAACUUCACACUUUCAAUAAUUCUACCCCUUCGGACAAGCCCUUCAUGGUUCUGAUAUGAAUUCCUUUCCCUCCAGAUAUCUGCUUCCCCCACUUCUGACAUCCUCUUGGCACCUCGGGUGUCCCCUCCCCUGCAGAUAGCACCCCCUCACACUCUCCUCACACCCUUUCUGCUGACAACUCCUGCCCACCUCCAGUGGUCUUGCAGCUACGUCCCUCGCACGGCCCCUCCUCUCCCAACAUUCCCUGCACCCCACAGAGCAGUCGAGAUGCAGACAUGCCCCGGCUAGAGCGCCGCCGCCGCCGCCGCUGCCAAAAUGCAUUAUGGGAAACCCCGCACGGGAAGCACUCCACGUCUUCCCUCCGCCCGCCCUGCUCCAGCAGUGAACCUUCCUCCCUGCUGAGUUCGGGGAAGGGAUGCCCGGGAACGAGCACGAGUACGCAAGCGCGCCUGGCGCGCGCUCCCCCUUGGUCGAUUCGCGAGCCUGAGGAUCCCAGAUGGAUCUUGCGCCUGCCCGGAUCGGAGAGCCAUUCUCUGGGCCGAGCUAGCGGCCUUUGGGAGAGAGACGUUGUGAGAGAGACCCUUGGUCUGAGCUGCAGCAAGGGAUCUCGCGCGGGGGGGAGAAAGCAUCGGAUUCCAUAAUUGAGGAUGCCAAGCCAGGAACAGGUUGAUGGGUGUAGCUAAGCGAGGGUGGCAGUACUGCCGCAUUUCUGUUCUACCCCCCAUGCCACCUGUGCCCGCAGAGGCAGCCCUUUGCCCUUGUCACUAGAAGGCCCUGGGUUGGCUGUAUCAUAGGCAGAUGAUAGUGAGUGAUAUUGCACCGAACUGCGUGCUCGCGGGAAGGGCAUUUCACCGCUGCUAGGUAGUGGGAUGUUUUUUAAGGAGAAGGGAGAGGGGGGACCUCUAUAUUUCUUUAGGUUCUAGAUCAGCCAACAUUGUGAAAAAUAAACAUUAGUAGUGACUGUAGGCAGAACCAGAUUUGCAUGGAGAGGCACCUGAAAUAAAUAUUUGUUGCAUUGACUUCUACCUCUUUCACUGGGGGCUGUUUUAGGGACAUCAGCACCCUCCAGAGGAUGAAGUCCUGUUCAAAUUCAUGAUCAUUAGAAUUUUUUAUUUAAUGCGUAUCUGUGCUGGAUAUUUAUAAAAAGGCUGUUGUGCCUAAGUGCAAAUUAAAGUUCUAGGAUAAAAGAAAAUUAGAAUUAGAAGGGGCCUAUUUUGCAUAUAAGAUCCAUAAAGGUAAAAGUGAUUUGCCCGAGAUCACACAUUAAGUGACUACCAGGAUUGGAUCCCACUUUGUUUAACUUCAAAUUCACUGCUUUUUCCAUCUUACCUGCCAAAGCUUUUCCUUCAACUCCAACAUUUAUUGUAUAGUAUGUUUUGUUUGACUGUUAAGCACAGGCACUUCUCUGCUUGUGAUUUUCCUAAAAAUGUUAAAUCAAGCUAGUGUUUGCAAAGUUAAGUUCAUUCCACCUUUUUUUUCUUGGAUAAUUGUUACCAAGUAGUGUGCAAAGUGGUUUAAGCCUACUGAUUGAUUAGGUUUAAUAUAGGAAUAGAUACCUAAGAAUAUUAGAUAAAGAAUACAUUAAACACUCCCCAUUGUUUUCCUUUUGAAAAAAAAUAUUACAGACAUAACCAUCUAAAAAAACAAACAUACAAAAUAAUGAGUAAAACCAUACAUUGAAAUCCUUAGCUUUUAGUAAUAAAGACAAGAAUUAACAAGCAAAAAAUUUUUUUUUUCUCUGCUCUCCAAGUUUGUCUGAACUUCUGCUAUCUCAUGUCUUUUUCUUUUAAGAUGUAAAUGAUUGUCAAUAUGUAUAUACCUCUGGUUUUCUUGGUUUUAGCAUCACUUCAAAUACAUCUUUCCAUAUUUCUUUGCUA
This is a long non-coding RNA of Antechinus flavipes (yellow-footed antechinus), 4952 nucleotides long. RefSeq lists it as uncharacterized. The transcript has 2 exons. The record is from RefSeq and is a predicted model, not a curated record. Lineage: Eukaryota; Metazoa; Chordata; Mammalia; Dasyuromorphia; Dasyuridae.